GCCAAAUCCCUGCCUUACUGACCUCUCCCCUGGAGGAGCAGGAGCAGCGCUCAAGGCCGCCUUGGGAGGGCUGAGAGGCAGGCUCUGGACUGGGGACACAGGGAUAGCUGAGCCCCAGCUGGGGGUGGAAGCUGAGCCAGAGACAGUCACAGAGGAACAAGAUCAAGAUGCGCUUUAACUGAGAAGCCCCCAAGGCAGAGGCUGAGAAUCAGAAGACAUUUCAGCAGACCCUAGUGACCUCUCUUUGGCUCUUCAGCAUCUACAAAUCUGAAGGACAAAACAUGGUUCAAGCAUCUGGGCACAGGCGCUCGGGCCACUGUAUCAGGUCCACCCGUGGCUCCAAAAUGGUCUCCUGGUCCGUGAUAGCAAAGAUCCAGGAAAUAUGAUGCGAGGAAGAUGAGAGGAAGAUGGCGCGAGAGUUCCUGGCCAAGUUCAUGAGCACAUAUGUCAUGAUGAUAAGAUCUAAGGCACAUGAGAUGAUACGCUUUCUGUUUGAGUUUCUCCUUUAUGUUACGCAUACUGAUAAAAUUGUUGACGCCAGUUGAUCUGAAGGUCCCAGCAAGGAGCCGACUCACAGAAGAAUGCAGUUUUCACAUUGUGAUGAUUUAAUCUUCCUUGACCUGAGCAAUUGACAACCCCAAUUCUCCAGAACCUCACCCGCCACAAUCCCCUUAAAAACCCUGGUCCAGAACCCCUCAAGCAGACAGAUUUGAAGCUUGAGGAUUCCUUCAUCUCUUUGCCCAAUGGCAUUGUGAUUAUUAAACUCUUUUUCUG
Molecule: long non-coding RNA, 774 nt
Filed under: Homo sapiens (human)
Lineage: Eukaryota; Metazoa; Chordata; Mammalia; Primates; Hominidae
Description: HSALNT0352378
Source: RNAcentral